CGAGUUUGAAUAGUAACUUCUCAUGCCUAUAAGAAGGGAGGUAACUUGUUUCUAGUUUUUCACUUCAUUAUCUUCUCAAAGUUUAAGAGUGGAAAGGUCCUUUCAAUUUUCACUCUCUGGCAUUGAGAUUUUUCCUUUCCCUCCCUGUUGAGAAUGUCUCAAGGGAUUUCGGGAAACGCUCGGCCUACUAUCUUCAAUUGCG
Molecule: long non-coding RNA, 202 nt
Filed under: Brassica rapa (field mustard)
Lineage: Eukaryota; Viridiplantae; Streptophyta; Magnoliopsida; Brassicales; Brassicaceae
Description: long non-coding RNA (BRAP_LNC008320)
Source: RNAcentral